UUUCGUUGCAUGAUUGGAUGUAAGGA
RNAcentral lists this small RNA (26 nucleotides) under Bombyx mori (domestic silkworm). RNAcentral's name for it is "ovarian small RNA-38345". Lineage: Eukaryota; Metazoa; Arthropoda; Insecta; Lepidoptera; Bombycidae. The record is from RNAcentral.